This 9779-nucleotide long non-coding RNA is filed under the name Gossypium barbadense (sea-island cotton). RNAcentral describes it as "long non-coding RNA (GBAR_LNC001852)". Lineage: Eukaryota; Viridiplantae; Streptophyta; Magnoliopsida; Malvales; Malvaceae. The record is from RNAcentral.
UAAAGGCUUCUGGAAUGCUGUGUUUCAUGAUCAUCAGAAUCAUGCAAUUUGAACGAUCCACCUCUCAAAGUCCCUCUUAAUAUCAGGGGUGCUUUCCGUAGUGAGAGGUGCAGGUUGUUCUUCCCUUAGUGCAAGGUCUAUGUCCAUAGAGCCAAGCACUAUAAGUAAGUGCCUUUUCCACUCUUUAAAAUUAGUUCCAUUAAGCAUGAGUAUAGAAUUUAUAUUAGCAGAUAUUGUGGCAGCAGAAGAUGAAUUAGCUGAAUAGAGAACAAAAACAAGCUUAAAUCAAUAUUCACAAGUAAACAAUAAAUUCAAGAUAAUGGCUACUCCCAUCUCAAGAUACCAAACUCUACAUUAAUAUAAAGUCUUUGGACAGUAAUAUUAACAGUAAGCGGUACUCUUGUUGUAGCAAUCAAAUUAACAUUAACAAUAAACUAUGUCAAGCAAUGAAUUAAUCUUUGGACUAACUUAUUACUCAUAUAAAAUACCUUAUAAUUGUCACACAUUUAUCACCACAGAUGUCGUUGUAAUUCUGCCAAAUAUUAACUUACCUUUGGGUCAAUCAAUAAACGCAUGAAUUACAAAAACAUAUAACCAUCUUAAUAUUUCAAAUAAACUAACCUACACAAAAGAGGUCACUUUGGCGGCAUUUUGUUUCAACUAAUUUAUUUAAAAUAUUAGUCAUCCUUAAUUAAAAGCCAAAAUCUGAAUUUAUUUUUUCCAAAAUAUUUACCUUAAUUUCAUCUUUCAAUCAAAUUAAAAGAUAAAACAUAUAUAUGUAUAUAUAUAAUUUUCCAAAACAUUAAACCAAUCAAAGCAUGCAUAUAUUAUAUAUUUAUAUAAACAAACAAAAAACAUAUAUAUGAAUCAAUUUCUAUAUAUAUAUUUAUAUAUAUAUUUAAAUGUCAUAUGGAUUAAAAUAAUAAUAAUCACAUGCCUUGCAAAUACACAGGAACUGAAUCACAAUAUUUUCAAAUAAAGCUUAAAAACGUAGGUAUCAAAUAAUAUUACACAAAUAUUUUAAACUUUAUAAUUGAAUCUAUUAAUUUGAAAAUCACCCAAUUUUUUUUUAAUAUAUGAAUUCAAGAUAAUAAAAAACUUUAAUAUAAAUCUUCAAAAAACAACAUAUAUAUCCGAAAUAUAAAACCCAUGAAAUUUCAUGAAUCAAUUAUUCAAAUGAAGAACCUGAAUCAAUUCCCAAUGAUUCGAUAUGACGAGGCUCGGAUGCCACUUGUUAGAAUUUAUAAAAUAAAUCUACAAUAUAACUUAAUAAACCAGGAUCUAUCAUGUCAAAUCAUUAAGAAUAAAUUAAGAACAAAACUAGAUGCGGAAGCGUACCUGAAUCCAUGGAUUCCUUGAAACUUUCUGGAAUUUGGGAAUUUGACCUUCCAAAUUAGCACACAAAAAAUUCAGAGAAUAUCUGCUCUCUCUUUCCUAUCUUCUGUAUAAUUUGGAGACCAGAACCCUAAUAUUUAUAACCUUAGCAUAUUAAUUCUAAUCAAAUUCUAAUUAGCUCAUCAUUAAUUAGAAUUUGAUUAGAAGAGUAUCUACACAUAUUUGACCCGUACUUUAUUUAAUAAUUAAAAAAACCUAAUAAAAUUCUAACCAAAUUAAAUCACUUUUAAUUUGAGCUAACCUAUCAUGAUAGUAAAUAAUAACAUGUAUUUAUUCUUAUUAUAUAUGUGAUAUCCAAAUUUUCCAACAUAUAAAUCCUGGGCACAUAGAAAACUUGAAAAAUUAAACAUAUAGUAAUAAAUAAUAUUAAAAUAUCUGAUACGUUUAUUACGCUCCUUUUAUAUCCCCCCCCCCCAAAUAUUGUAAAUGUGUCGUGUUUUCCGGGGAAGCAAUGAAGACGGGUACAAAGAAUGAUUUAUUUUGUCAUUGGGUCCCUAACAUGUUGCUAGGAGUUGUUCAUAUUUAAUUUUACGACAAUCUUAAUUUAUUGUCUUUAAUAUAAAUAACAAUAGCUGAUAAUAGGUUCAGCCCACUCUUUCAUGGUCCUCAUCUAAUAUUAGAAACUAGAUGAUCGAUCUAAGAAAAUGGAGGCUCUCUUGAAGCAUACAUAUAUGGUUACCAUUGUCCCUACACCAUUCUAUGUAUAGCGUAAAAAGCUGUAAAAAUUGUGAUGCAUCCUUGAUCAAUGCAACCUGUGGUCUUUGUUGGAGACGAUUUCUUCAAUAUCUUACGUGUUGUACAAAUUUAAUGACUCAAUUAUGCUUUCAACCCAAAUGCAAAUCAAUGGGUUCAUAGUUAUUCGUGUUCUCUGGAUUUAUUAGAAUUCUUUACACCAUCUUGAAUUGUUGUAAUACUUGAUCUGACUAAAGCCACUCAAUGCAAAAAAAAAAAAAAAACAUAUAAUGGUUUGCAUAUAGUAAAAACACAACUCUGCACACGUAACUCUGACAGUAGUAUGAUAGCAGUCUCUUUUGCUUGGUAUGACAUCUAAAAAAAUUUUCAAACAAAAAUAUUGAAUUUAAAUUCCAUUAUCAAAUGAUAUUACUUGAUGUAAUUGAACUCUAACUAGUAGAACACAAUUAAUCGAAACAUUGGAUUCCCUAUCAAUUGUUUCUAACAUCUAUGCCAAACUAUCCUUCUAGUAUGUCAUAUGGUUACAUUGCUUGGACCACCAGUUAAAUUAUAAAAUGUUUGUACAAAUAUAAAAUAUUUAGAAAGUAAUGGAUUUUAAGGUUUAAGGUUUUAUUUUUACCAUCAACUUAGAGGGAACUGAGAGGUUUAGAAGGUAUAGAUGCAAUGAGCGAAAGUUGAUAUUAUCCUCACAAUUGUAAAAUCACAAGGCAACCAUUAGCUUCCUUAUUCCCUACUCUACACCCUUUGCACAACACCUUGUAUAAGCAAGCCAAAAUGACAAAGCUCAACCAUAUGUACUAGGCGUCCAAAAAUUUUAUAACUACGGGAGGUACAUGGUAUGAAUUAAGUUGCCAAACUUUUUUUUCCACAUGCAUACUUUUGAUCAAGAGUAGAACGUAUGCUCAAGCAUAUAUGACAAUAAAUAUCAAUAGGCAUUGGUUUCUCCAAGAGAUGCUCAAAACUCUUUUUCAAUUAGUUUAACUUCACCUGAAGCUUUUCGAAAUCAGAUGGAAGAUUAUACCUUUUUAGAAUGUUUCAUAAAGGAUUUGCUUAGAUUGUGCUCAAAUCUGUCAAUUAUAGGAUGCUUGUCCAUUGAAAGUCUUGUCAGCAACACUAUAUCUUCUAACAUUAUUGUCGCUUCGUUGCAUGAGAGAUAAAACGUAUCAGUCUUUAAUCUCCAUCGUUCACUCAUAGUGAAUAAGAAUGAUGGAGCGUAAGCAACACUCCCAAACUGUCUUUCAUGAUAGAAAUCGACAUCCAUUAAUUGAUGAAUAAUUCUCGACAGUAUGUCUUUGUUCAAAUGUCAAUAAAUGGGUAGCCAUUCUGAUAUGGUUGAAAAUUAUCAUUUCCAAAUACUUGACUAUUUAGAGUUUAUGACAGAACAUAGAAAACUAUUUGUUUUGGUGUUUUAUGAUAAACUAACAAAUUCAAUUGCUUGUUUACAUGUUUUAAAAUUAAGGGGUUCUUAUAGAAAUUCAACAUUCAUCAGUGUUGACUUCAAUUUAUAUUUUCCUUAAAUUUUAAUCAUAUUACAUUAUCUUUUAAUUUUUUUUCCACAACUCAGAUAUUGUAGAAGAUAUCAAGUUCAUGGUACUUAAAAAUUGAAUAUUACACCUUCAACUUGACACUAUCAAUUGAUUAUAUCAUGAUACAGAUCCUAAUUUUAAGGGCACAUGAAAAACUUCAAGGCGUUCAUACGAAAACUACUUUCGUACAAACAUAUAUUAAUAAAUAAUAUUAAAAUAUUUGAUACGUAUAUCAGCAGAAUCAACGUUUAUAACGUUGUGUAAUAUUAUUUAUAUAUAUUUCAAAAAAAAAAAAAACUUAAACAAAUGAAAAAACAGUUGUUCUCAUCACUAUAUAAACCCUACAAUGCUCAGUAAACACAUCACACAUCAAACAUCAAAAAAUAGUAAUAGAUUCAUGUAUUCGACAAUGGCUCGCCCUACCCCAGUCUCAUCCUCAUCAAAAAUAUCCCAGCAAUCGAUGAGGAAUGAGCAUUGGAUGUUCGACGAUGCGAUGAAUGAGCGAAUUCGGUCGACUCAUGUCCCCGAUGGUCGUGUUGUUGAUGUUACACCAGUUCUUCUAGUCACUCGCAAUGUUUUGAGUCAUAUCAUUCCCAACAUUAAUCUUUCUAUGAAUGUAAACUUUGAUAAACUUAAGAUUUCAUGAUGUUUAUAUUCCAGGAAAUGGAAAGAUUUUCAAGACAAUGCUUUGGGUUUUUUUUUGUCUUGUAGGGACACAUCGAUGCAUCCGACGAUCAGACCAACUUGUCUGCCGUUGAUGGCGCACAUGAUGCAUUACACAAAAUCUGCUGCGAGGUUAUUCGGCUGUUUUAUUUUGCUUUGGGAAUCUCGAUCAUUUUUGAAACCGAAAAAUAACGAUCGUAACCUAAGUUGAUGUUUUGUAGCUAUCAUGCAUGUGUUCUAGAGGAGGUGAUGCUCAUGCAACAACAAUGGCGAUCUUCAACAUGCUUUCAAGCUAUUCAUGGGGUGCAAAAGUGGUGCUAACAUUAGCGGCUUUUGCAGUGAAUUUCGGGGAGUUUUGGCUGAUCGCUCAGCUUUGCACUUCCAACUCAUUGGCCAAAUCAGUGGCUCUCCUCAAGCAACCCGACAUUUUAGAGCACUCCCAAACACUGAAAUCCCACUUUGAUGCACUCAGCAAGCUCAUCAAUGCAAUGGUCGAUGUAACCAAGUGCAUUGUUGAGCUUACUGAGCUACCUUCUAAGUAUAUUUCCAUCGAUGAGCAGCCAUUUUCGACCGCCAUGGCUCAUAUCCACACUGCUACCUAUUGGAUCAUUUCGAGUGUCGUCGCUUGUACUAGGCAGAUUACAGGCCUUAUAGGGCUGAGACAUGAGUGAGUCAUGAAUUUUCUAUGUGCUCAAUCAGAUAAUAUGGCGACAUUCAAUUUACCAACAAUUAAAUCUUUCGUUUGAAUCAUUUUAGGUUCCCUAUAUCGACUUCGGAGGCAUGGGAGCUAUCAAGCUUGGCACAUAAAGUUAGCAGCAUACAUGAACACCUUCAAAGUCGAUUACGUCUUUGUUAUGCGCGUAUUGGUGAGUCCAUCCUUGACGACAAAUCUAGAAUUAUAAAUCCUAUAUAUAUACAUUUAUAAAAUAAGUUGAGUAUGAUUGUAAUGAGAUGCAGAUGAGAAGAAGCUAAUGGAAGCUUUUGAACACUUCAAGCGUACCAUUGAAACACCUCAAGUGGACAACUUGAUGGUUCUCCAAAACAUCUUUGGCAAGGAAAAGAAUCUCUUGAAUCCAGAUAGGGCCGAGGUCUGUUUAAUUCCAUGUUCCAAGUUUCAACCAUGUUUUAAAAUUCAUUGGAUCGUAUGUUAACGUUGCUGGUAUAAUUUAACAGGCUUAUAUCAAUGUCUUGAGAAGAAAGCAUGUUUUAUUGCUCAUUUCAGAUCUUGAUAUCUCCCAAGAGGAGAUUCGGGUUCUUGAAGAUGUUUACAAAGAAAGGGGAUCAUCUGGGCUUAACUAUGAGAUCAUAUGGCUCCCAAUUGUGGACAGAACAACUUGGAAUAAUGGUUAUCAGGAAAAGUUUUCGACCCUGCAAUCAAUUAUGUCGUGGUAUACUGUGAGCCACCAUGUUGCCAUUGAACCAGCAGUGAUUAAAUACAUAAGGGAAGAAUGGGGUUUCGUUAAGAAACCAAUUGCGGUGACAUUGAAUCCACAAGGAAAAGUUUUAAGCCCAAAUGCACUCAACAUGAUGUGGAUAUGGGGAAAUUCAGCUUUCCCGUUUAGCAGUGAAAAAGAAGAAAGCUUUUGGAAAGCUGAACCUUGGACACUUGACCUUCUCGUUGGUCGCGUUGAACCAAACUUACCUACUUGGGUACAUGAACAUCCCCACAUAACUUUAAUAUAUAUGUGUAUAUCAAUUAAUAUGCUUAAUUUCUUUUUGGUUUUGUGUUGUUAUAAUCAGGUGAGCCAACAGAAAGUGGUUUGUUUCUAUGGUGGUGUGAAAAUGGAAUGGAUCGAAAGUUUCACUACCGCAACAAAAGGGGUUGCAAACGCUCUCGAUAUUGGCAUAGAAAUGGUUUAUGUUGGAAAGAAAAAUGCAAGGGAACGAGUGAAAAAGAUUACUGGUUUAAUCAAAGAGAAGGAACUUAGCCAUGCUUGGGAAGAUGACAAUGUGUGGUUCUUUUGGAACCUAUUAGAGAGCAUGUUGUACUCGAAAACCCAACAUGGGAAGACCAUUGAAAACGAUGUUAUAAAUCAAGAAGUGAUGACGAUGCUUGGAUAUGACAGUAGUAAAAAUGGAUGGGCUGUGUUCUACACCGGAUCGGGUGAAAUGGUGAAAGCCAAUGGAGAGAAAGUGCUUAGCACCAUGGAGAGCUUUGGUCAAUGGGAAAAACUUGCCAAGCAAAUGGGUUUUAUCCCAGCACUUCGUAAGAAGUUGGAAGGGGUUAUCGACAACCAUCAUUGCACUCGCCUUAUCCUUCCGGGUAACGGUGGUAGAAUUCCGGAGAGGGUGCAAUGUGCUGAGUGUGGUCGUCCGAUGAAGUUGGAUUUCUUGUAUAGCUGCUUUGCAGACUGAGGUAAAGAAAGGGGAAAAAAGAUGGUUUUGUGGAGGUUUGUUUGGUAUUAUGAUAUGAUUAUCAUAUCUAGAGUCGACAUGUUUGCUACGUUUUCUAAUAAUGCUUAGGGCUCUUUUAAUAUCCCAUACUGCUAAUUUUAUCUGGUUGUUUGUGUUGCAUUCGUAGUUUGCGUUGUAAGACUACUUCCCUAAAUAAAGAGUUCAUUUAAGUUUAUGGCUUGGAUUUUUUUAAAUAAUGAGUUAAUUUUAUAGUAGAUCUCCAAAUUAUAUCUUUUAUUGUGAAUUAGUUACCAAACUUUAAAACAUACUAAUUACAAAGUUUGACUUUUCAGUCAUUUGGGGAACAGCAAACAACAAUAAAGAAACAUGCAAUAAAUAGAAAAGAAAGACAGAAACCAAAACAAAAUAAAAAAUUGCCUCUGAGCAGAGGAAAACGAAUCAUCAACAGAAGAAGUCUUUUCAUCUUCUCCUCCAGAGAGAAAUCAUCCAAACCUAGAACUUCGAUUGUCUUCCAACCAAGAGGUAGCAAGCAAUUGUGGAAUCAAGUCCCUUCAGGAAUCUGCUUACAUCUUAAUUUGCCACAACGUAAAUCUGAUAUUGCAAUCUAAUAGUGGAAUUGCAUACUUCAAAGACGUUAUUACUGUGAUCGAGAUGAAUAACUCGGAAGCUCUGAUACUAAUUUAUAAAAAUGGAACGUUGGUAAUAACAAUAUAUUGCAAAGAAAAGAGAAAUAAAAAUAAAAAUAAAAAUAAAGAACACACAGAUUUUUACGUGAAAACUCUUUCCGAAAAAAAUCACGAGUAGAGAAGAAAAAAAUUCACUAUGUUGAAUUCAAAUGAUUACAAGAGGAGUAGACUAUGUCUAUUUAUAGGCUUAUAAAACCAAAUUCUAAUAGAAGUGUAGUAAGAUUGAAAGACCUUCUAAUCAAUAUAAAAUAGAUGAAGUUGAGUAAGUUCUAUAUGGAUUUUACUUUUAUUUUAUUUUACCACUGUAUUUUAUUUAAAUAAGGAUUCGGGUCUCUUAAUUCUAACAGUUAACUUGCAACAAAUUUUUGGUUGGGAUCUAGGUAUUUUUAGAUUAAUAUAUCUUUAUAGCAUUUGAAUAUCUAUCUCUUAGUUUCGAAACGCAUUUUUAACCACUUGAUUUCAAGUUUGGAAACUCAAGUUAUGAUUGUUUUAGUGAAGACUAUGUGAGCAUAAUUUCUGUACAGGAUUAUUACGGAAAUUAAAAAUUUGAGCUUUUAACACAAUAUCCGCGAAAGAAUGUACUAUGAACAAGAAUACCGGAAAAACUUGCAUCGUUUAUCGUACGAUAUGUUCAUCGAUCGUAAAAUUUUUGGUGCUACUAAUUCAUUUCUUAUUAUAGAUGCAACUAUGUAAUGUUUGUACAAGCCCAUUUUUGCCCGGGCCCAUUAAAACCUAAUACCCAAAUUUAAUCCCAAUACCCACUAAACUAACCCAACUAUCUACCCAAACAACAAAAUAAGCCCAAAUGGCCCAAACCCAAACCCAUUAGUCAAACUAAGGUUUCAAAAAAGCUGAAACCCUAGCUUAUCUUCUGCCACAGCCGUCAUCUCUGCCACCCACCUCCACCUGCUCCAUUGCUCAACCACCUACAAGAGAAAAGGAGAACGGAUAGCAAGAAAUAAUAAUAAAACUUGUAAAAAAGAUGGCUAUAAAAAGCCAUUUGGAAAUCAUGUAAAUGGGGGGACAUUUUGAAUAAAAAAAAUCAGUGAUUCAAAGCAAAUAAUAACAAAUCAGGAGAAAAACAUCAAAUCAGAGGAACCCAAAAUACCAAAAAUCAAACCCGAAAACCUAAGGUGAUUUUAUUUUAUUUAUUUAUUUUUAUUUUCGAAUCUAUUUACUUGCAUGUAUACAUAUAUUGCAAACAUAUAAAAAAAUAAAAUAAUAUACCUUUUUGAAUUUCCGGCCACCGUGCGCGGCGGCCAGCGACGACUGGCGACGGCGGCGGACGAAGCUGGAGCUUGGCCGGAGGGAGAGGGCCUUAAGAGAGAAUAGAGAGUUUUUGAAGUUUUUUUUUAAAACAAAGGAAGAAUGAGUUUUUUUUUUAAUUUUUUGACUUAUAUAGCCCCCCCAAAAACGACGUCGUUUUGGGACUGGCCUUAAAUGCCCAAAACGACGUCGUUUUGACCUGGACCGAUCCGACCCGAUAAAUAAUAAGUAAUUUAAAUCCAUGAAUUACAAUGGUAUGUGUAAUGGCCAAUUUUGGCCCAGAUCAAUAAAACAAAAGAAACCCCAAACAAAUCAAAUUAAUUCCAAAAUAAAAAGUCCCAAAAUAAAUAAAGUCCAUUUUACAAAAACAAACAGCAGGCCCAAUUUCCACAUUGAAUGGCCCAAACCCAAAACCAAAUGGCCAUUACAUCAAACCCUAGCCCAAAUCCUAGCCCACUAUCCUAAAAUUUUUUCAGCAAACUAACCCUAGGGCUAGUCCCUAUUGCGGCCGCCGAUCCCACCUUUGGCCUCCCAUCGGCCGCACGCCACCACUCCAUGCGUCCCACGCCUCUCUGACACCUGCGACAAGGAGUAAAUGUGAAGACAGAGAGCAGUACACGGGCAGUAGAAGAAAUCAAGCAAAAAGGAAAAAAAUAUGAAAUGAAUAGUCACCUUAAUCGGCUAUAAGAGCUCGAUUUUUCUAUUUGUAUUUUUUACGCGCACAAGCAAAGUAAAUCACAAAAGAAAAACUAAGGUUAAAAGAUGUUUGUCGAUUCUUUCAUUCAUUUUAUUUUAUGUUUUAUUGUAUUUCUUUUCCUUGCAAAUAUGUUUUAACAAUAAACUAAUAAACAAAGAGAUAAACUUACCUGAGCAACCCCGCAUUCCUCCAUCACUGAGGGUGUUUCACCGGUGCAGAGGACCCCAAAACCUCUUAAGGUUUGGCCGUGGCUUUGACGGCUACAUCGGCUAGGCAAAGGGACCGAAGUGUCUUUUUAUUCGAUUUUUGUCGCGAACGAGAGGCUAGGCCUUUAGAUCCGGCCAAACAGAGGCUAAAAAGCUCGAUUUUUGCACCUUCGACCACCGCCUAUGGUGGCCGGUGCGAAGGUGAACUGUCGACACCAAUAACCAAAGGGAAGGGGGUUUUUGGAGAAAUAGACUAAGGGUUUUCAGUUUUUUUUUAAAAGAGGGCGGAAAU